UCUCGGUUUCGCCCACCUCGCUCGCGUGGCCGACCUGUCUCUCCUUGUUCCUCUACCCGUCUCCGGUAUUAAAGCCCCAUCGCCAUUCGCCCAACUCCUCCGUGCUCCCCUCCCUUGGGCGCACGGAUCCAUCGCCGAGGCCGAAUCAAAUACACCGCCACCAAGAGGCCAACCAACGCCAACCACCAUCCUGCGCGCUGGAUCCCUUUGCCUAGCAGCGCGUCUCCGGGACGACCGGUCCAUUCCAUCCAAGAGCGCAUGGUGCCGAGCAUUGCCGGGGCGGCGGUGGCGUCGUCGUCCGCGCACGCGCAUGCGCCGGCUGGGCGGCGGGCCAAGAGGGAGCCGGUCCACAUGCACGCCGGCAUCCGGCGGUCGCGCUCCGAGCCGCACCUCCGCUGCUCCCGCCGCGGCGGGGCCGCGGGCGCGUCGCUCACCACCAGCCGCUCCAUCGGCGUCUUCCCCUUCCAGUUCGGCGCCGCGCCGCUGCGCCCGCCGCCGCUCCCCGACAGCGUCGGCGGCGGCGACUACCGGCUCCUCACCGUGUGCGCCGGCGAGACCGACCCGGACCCGGACCCGGAAAUGCCGCAGGUCAGGACGCCCGAGGACCACUGGCUGGACCGGCUCCUGGAGCUGCGCUCCCGCUUCCACGACCCCACCAAGCGCUUCUUCACCGACAACGACAACCUCUUCGAGGAGCAGGACGACGACGACUACCACGAGGACGGCGGCUGCGGCGUGAACUACGAUGAGGAGCACCCCGCGGCGGAGGCCGAUGACAAGUGGGACCGCGAGUCGUUCGUCAAGCUGCUGGCGCGGGCCCCCCCGGGCGAUGCCCGGCUGUUCGCGCAGCUGGCCUUCCUCUGCAACAUGGCCUACGUCAUCCCGGAGAUCAAGAGGGCUGAGCUGAGGAAACACUACGGACUCGAGCUGGUGACGUCGUCGGUACAGAAGAAGGCCGAGGCCAGCGCCGUGAGCGCUCAGGUGGACGGCGACUCCACACGGCCGCCGGGCGAUGCGCAGCAGUACGAGGUGGCUGCGGAGCCGCAGCCGCGACGGCCGGUCCGCCGCUCCAACCACCUGGCCUACGAGGUGGCCGCGUCGGCCGCGUCCUACGUCCAAGCGCGGGCCCGCGGCCUGCUCUCGCUCCGGGGGCAUCAACACCCACCGGCCGGGGAAGAAGACCGGCUGUACAACUCGGGCAUGGCGGCCUACGUUGCCGCUUCUACGGUCACGGCGGUGGUGGCCGCCGAGGACGAGGCGCGGCAAGAGGCCGCCCGUGACCUGCGGUCGCCGCUGUCCUCACCGUGCCAGUGGUUCGUCUGCGACGAGGCCGACAUGCGCACCCGCUGCUUCGUCAUCCAGGGCUCCGACUCGGUCGCGUCCUGGCAAGCCAACCUCCUCUUCGAGCCCACCACGUUCGAGGACACCGGCGUUCUCGUGCACCGCGGCAUCUAUGAGGCGGCCAAGGGCAUCUACGAGCAGCUGAUGCCGGAGAUCGUGGAUCACCUGAGGGCGCAGAAGGAGGGCGCUCGCCUGCGGUUCACGGGGCACUCGCUCGGCGGCAGUCUGGCGCUGCUUGUGAGUCUGAUGCUGGUGGCGCGCGGGGUGGUCGGCCCGGAGUCGCUGCUCCCCGUGGUCACCUUCGGCGCGCCGUCGGUGUUCUGCGGCGGACAGCGCGUGCUGGAGGCGCUCGGCGUCGGCGAGGGCCAUGUCCGCGCCGUGGCGAUGCACCGGGACAUCGUGCCGAGGGCAUUCUCGUGCCGGUACCCCGGCCACGCCGUCGCCGUGCUCAAGCGCCUCAACGGCGCGCUGCGCACGCACCCCUGCCUCAACAGCCAGAAGGUGCUGUACACGCCGAUGGGCACGACGUACAUCCUGCAGCCGGACGGCAAGGCGUCGCCGCACCACCCGUUCCUGCCGGAGGGCGCGGCGCUGUUCCGGGUGGCCAGCCCGGAGGAGCGCGCGGAGCCGUCGGGGUCGGGGAGGGCCGUGGUGGCCAGCGCCCUGCGCGCGUUCCUCAACUCGCCGCACCCGCUGGAGACGCUGAGCGACCUGUCGGCCUACGGGUCCGAGGGCGCCAUCCUCCGGGACCACGAGUCCGGCAACUACUUCCGGGCGCUCUACGCCCUCACCAAGGUGGCGCCGCGCCGCCGGAAGCAGCCGGAGAUCGUGUGGAGGCUUCCCGGCGUGGAGCGGCUGCAGCAGUACUGGUGGCCGGGGGUCGCCGGCACCGUGGUCCCGAGGCCGGUGGCCGUCCACAGCAAGGAGCUGGUAUCCGAAGCCUGAAUCACUGCGAUUCAAGCAGGCGGUGGCGGGGGUGGUGCAUCAAGGUGACCGGCAUCGGAGGUGAUGAUGGACGACGCUCGUUGUCGGCUGCUGGUCGAAUCAGCACUGUCGUACAGAUCAUUUGCCUAGAGUAAUUACUCCAACUAAGAUAAGCAAGGGAAAAGAAAACGUGUGUGCUGAUUAGAAAUACCUCAAAAUCCAUUAGAGAUGAGAUCAAGGACAACAAGGAGGUUUGUGUCAUUUAGUGAAGGUUUGAUUCUGAUGUUGCCACGGAAGAAACAUUGGAACAAGUGGAUGACAACAGCGACGAAGAGGGUAAGGGUGACAAUGCAGAAGUUGAAACAUAUGAGAGUUUUACCGAAAAUGACUUUGAAGUAGCAGAUGGUGGUGAUUUGGUUGAGGCCAAUGUAGACUAACAUGUUGACGAUCUUAAGAUAAGGAGAUCUUACAUAACUUUGAAGAAUUUGCAUAACAUGUUGACUAUCACUUACACAUUGAUACGUCAAUUUUGCAUCACUA
Triticum dicoccoides is the source of this 2805-nucleotide RNA transcript. It is a transcript of the gene named phospholipase A1 PLIP1, chloroplastic-like, with no coding region annotated. The record is from RefSeq and is a predicted model, not a curated record. The transcript has 4 exons. NCBI's taxonomy places the organism in Eukaryota, Viridiplantae, Streptophyta, Magnoliopsida, Poales, Poaceae.